Molecule: long non-coding RNA, 1404 nt
Filed under: Papio anubis (olive baboon)
Lineage: Eukaryota; Metazoa; Chordata; Mammalia; Primates; Cercopithecidae
Description: lncRNA (ENSPANG00000045322.1)
Source: RNAcentral
AUUCUUGUACAGUCUGAAAUCCUAGAAAUGCUAAGAUCUCAGGACAUCUAUGCUAAGCCCAGAAAACACUGACGAGCUUUUCCGUUCCUGGAGGAGGGUGUCUUACUGGAAGGCUGUGGGCCGAUGCCAGGUGACAUGAUAGACAAUUACUGGACUAAUUUGCAAAGCGCAUUUCUGAAGUCACAUUUUUUGCUUGACAUGGAUUCCAUCUUCACAGAGAAGGACACUGCAACACUGCUGUAAUGAACACAGGGAAGGCAUUGUUGUGCUGGGAGCUGAGGAAACAAAUCCUGAGACACUAAGUGAUUUGCCCAAGGCCACGCCGUGUCAAAGCCGAAGAAAACUCAAGGACAAUGACUUCCAAGUCUGCUGUGGGUGUCCCUGUCUUUCCUCUCUGGUCCCAUUUAAACUCCGGGUUUAAUUCGAUCUUCAUAUGACUAUGUCCCUCCACUAGCAAAUGUGGAACAACUUGAAGAAAAUGGAGACCAUAACUCCUGCCUCAACUGCCUCACAUGGGGAUUAUGAGGAAAACAAUAAGAAGAUUUAAUAAAAAUGGACUCAGACUGUUACUGAUUUUCCAUACAGGUGCUAGUAAUUGGGUGAGUAGAGGAUAUGAGAAAUGAAGAGCCCUGGAAUUGAAGUCAGAUGUGAAUCAGAAUUCUGACUCCCCCUCUCAUUAGCUGUGUAACCUUGAACACUUAAUCUCACAAAACCACGGUUUCUUUUUCUGUAAAAAAAGAAUGACAGACUGGGUGCGGUAACUCAGGCCUGUAAUCCCAGCACUUUGGGAGGCUGAGGUGGGCGAAUCACGAGGUCAGGGGUUCGAGACCAGCCUGGCCAACAUGGUGAAACCCCGUCUCUACUAAAAAUACAAAAAACUGCCAGGCGUGGUGGUGGGCACCUGUAAUCCCAACUACUAGGGAGGCUGAGGCAGGAGAAUCAUUUGAACGCGGGAGGUGGAGGUUGCAGUGAGCCAUUGCACUCCAGCCUGGGUGAUAUGGUGAGGCUCCAUCUCGAAAAAAUAAAUAAAUAAAUAAAAUAACAAAAAUGCAUGCCCAGUAGCAGGAAUGGAAGUAGCCUAAACUACCAUCCACAGGGGACCAGCUAAAUAAGGAUGCUCUGCCUGUACAGUCAGAGAGGAGCGCCUUCUACUCUCUUCAGGUUUCCGUGCAAAGGAGUUUUUUAAGCACCCUGAUGAUCUUGCUUUUUCCCUUGACUCGCUCCACCUGUGAGAAGGUGGUAUCACUUAUCUGACUGGUAGAUCUUGUCUCAACUGUACUUUUCAUUUUGGGAACUGCUGCAGGCUACACAACAAGAUCUAUAUGCACAGCUUCAGUAAUAACAAGCUUGCUUGACUAUUCACAUAAAACUCUAACUUCUAGUCUUGCCUCUGUCUGCAAUAAA